UCGUAUGGGAUACCUAAAGUUCCCAUGGCGAACUGCUCAAUAACACAUGAUCAACUUACCCUAUAGAGAAGGAUAACCUCGGGAAAGCAUCAUUGUGGAUUUUUAUGAUGAUGCCCCGAAACUGAGGAUAAUCCUUCAUAGUUGAAUAGGCUUGGAAAAGUUAUUCAACGAAAGGGGAUAAGAAAAAUGGUUCUUAUCCCGCUAUAGGAUAGGAUUGUGGUCGAUUAUGGUAWUUGGUGAGGUAACGGCUCACCAAGCCUAUAAUCGAUAGGGGCCGUGAGAGCGGGAGCCCCGAGAUGGGUACUGAGACAACGACCCAGGCCUUACGAGGCGCAGCAGGCGCGAAACCUCCGCAAUGCACGAAAGUGCGACGGGGUUCCCAAAGUGCUCACUCUUGAGCUGUGGUAGGUGAGUAAUAUCCCCUACUAGAAAGGAGAGGGCAAGGCUGAC
RNAcentral lists this ribosomal RNA (450 nucleotides) under uncultured prokaryote. RNAcentral describes it as "bacterial SSU rRNA". It matches the Rfam family "Archaeal small subunit ribosomal RNA", at positions 58 to 456 of the family's 1478-position model. The record is from RNAcentral.